CGCUCCGAAGGAGACCUUCCACGUUUGGCAAAAAGAACAGGGGACAAAACAAAACAAAACAUCUCCCUAGCUCCCAACAAAGUCAGAGAUGAAAGCAGACGGUUUUAGCAUGGCAAAUAGGAAAAUAAACAAGUGCUUGAAAUGGGACUUUUUUUUUUUUUCAACUGUGGGCUGAGAAUCCUCUCUGAGCUCAAGAGGACAACAAAAUCCCUCACAGCUGACUUGCCUGGGAGUCCACAGGCUUCACGACUGCAAAUCCUCCGGAGUCUAAGCAAGUCAGGUGCAACAGAGCCACUGAGUCCAGCCUUUGCUGGCACUUGCCUUAGGCACAUGCUCUGUCGGUGAGCAGGACGUGCUGGCCCUGCAUUCCAGGGACACCACAGGGCAUACAGUGCAGCUCUGUGCUUGCCUUUUGCUUUUUCUCCUGUAAAUCUCCUUAACUACCCAAACUCAGAAGGCAACCAAAUACGGGGUUUAGAGAAGGCAUGGUGGCAAGAGAUUGUCUUUAAAUGCAGCUGCUGAUACUGGGCUUCAUGGAGAAGUUGAGGGCUUGCCAGCCAGCCUGAGAGCCUCUCAAGCAUUCACCCUCCCCAUGGCCUCCAAGUGACCUUAUCAUUUGGUGACAGGUAUUUAGGGGAUACUCCUGGUGAUGACACUAGACAUCCUGGGACCAUCAAGGCAGUAGUAAUGUUGGGAUAUAAAGUACCCUUAAUGUAGUGAACUUAAAAAGAACUCAGAAUCCCGAGAAAUGGCAUAUGCUGAUUCCUAAUCUGUCCGGCAUGAGCCUACGGCUCCCCAUCCCUACUGCUACUGGCUGCUUCUCUGGCCAAGACUACUGGUCAACCUCUUCUUACUGGCCAAUCAUCCUGCCACCACUCUGACUUCUGUAGAAGCCAUCAUCUUCUCUGCAGCCUUCUGGAAGCACCAGUGUCACGGUAUGGCCACACCACUCCCUCUUUCAACGACUUCAGUAGUUCCUCGGCAGACAGAAGAAAACAUAACAAGUCCAGGGUCUGGAGCCCAGGUUUCCUGGCCCAGGCUCUGUGUUUACCCCACCUGCUCUGACUCAUGGCUCAGGCCAAUAUUAUGCCCAUUCCCAGACAGCUGGGGAAGUAGGGAGGAGUGGGCAAUGAAGGUAGGGAUGACACCGUCCAAAGGUGACAGACGCUGAUGACUCAGUUUGAGGUGAGGUGAGGAUCUUUUGUGUAAGGACUUUGUAUUUCUCACAAUCCACCUCUGGAUUGUAACCUGGGAAUCUCAAGAUCAUUCAAAUGACUAAGAAUGGAAUAACUAACUUUGGAUGAUACGCUUCACCCCAUUGGUGUUUUGGAACUGCUUGAAACAAGGCAGGCUUAACUAAAAUCAAAAAGUAAAAAAGCAAAAACUGAAAAGAGAAGACUUCUGGCCAAAGCUCCCAUGUUCCCCAGCAGACUGGGACCGGGCACUUCAGUUCUCCUGCUAAUGCUUCCAAACCCCUCUGCUCCCCCAAGGACUGCAGCUCUGCACUAAGGCUCCCAUGCAGCCCUCAUGACCUCCUCUGUUCCCACUUGGAAACCAAGCUUCAGGACUCCCGGGUGGCUCAGCAGUUAAGCAUCCAAUGCUUGAUCUCGGCAGGAUCUUGAUUGUGAAUUAAAGCCCUACAUUAGUCUCUAUGCCGGGCAUGGAGCCUACUAAAAAAAAAAAAAAAAAAAAAAAAAAAAAAAAAAAAGAAAGAAAGAAAGAGAAAAGAAGCUUCUAUUUUUUGUGUUUCCGAUCUCUCUUGUCAUAGGAACUUGUGUUUUUAGUUCCUCCCUCAGGGUCAUAGCACACAGCUCCAUGGUAUUCCCACAGGAUUGACCCUGGUUUCUUCUGUUGACCUGGCACACAGCCCCCGCUCACUUCUGUUCUCCCCAGGGCCUCAUUACCUUCGAAGGACACUCCCUGGGUGGCAUCUUGUUGCUCUUGCUCGCUUUCUUACCUACUAAGUAUCGCACAGGGGACAGAAAGACAAAGGGGCUGGCAAUUUCCACCUGGUGGGCUCUGUGUUUAACAAGGGAGCCUGUACACACAGGCAGUUAUGAGUGUGCAGGGUGUUUGUGGGUGGUUCUAAAAAGCGCUUCUACAUCAGCUGUGAUUUGUUUGAACUCUCUCCAUUUCCGGGGGUCAGUGCUGGUCCUGCAGAUGAACAGGGAAAGAUCCUGCUCUGGCGCAGUGUGAAGAGACAGCGGCAAUGCACCUGAACAAAUAGAUCCCGUGGCACUGCUAAAGCUUCGUUUCAGAGUCACCCUUUCUUGACAAGCUGUCUCAUCACUGUAAAACUUUUGUUUUAUGGUUUUGACUUUUUAGUUCAAGACCAAACCUAUGAUUUAGGUAAGCAUCGACUGGCAGGCAGCUUAUAGUUUAAGCUAUAGUUUAAAUUUUCGGUAUUCAGAAUCAGCUCUCAAAUCAACCCUCUUACUGAAUUACAAUCUUUAUAUCUCACUUAUUAAAAAUAAAAAUUUAUAAAAGUGGA
Molecule: long non-coding RNA, 2491 nt
Organism: Canis lupus familiaris (dog)
Lineage: Eukaryota; Metazoa; Chordata; Mammalia; Carnivora; Canidae
Exons: 2
Source: RefSeq, a predicted model, not a curated record